RNAcentral lists this ribosomal RNA (1132 nucleotides) under uncultured bacterium. RNAcentral's name for it is "bacterial SSU rRNA". It matches the Rfam family "Bacterial small subunit ribosomal RNA", at positions 8 to 1118 of the family's 1533-position model. The record is from RNAcentral.
AGAGUUUGAUCCUGGCUCAGGACGAACGCUGACGGCGUGCCUAAUACAUGCAAGUCAACGAGAAAGUCGGCUUCGGCUGGCGAGUAAAGUGGCGAAUGGGUGAGUAACGCGUAGGUAACCUGCCUUCAGGAUUGGAAUAACUCUGCUAACGCGGGGCUAAUACCGAAUAAAGCAGCAUCACCACAUGGAGAUGUUGUUAAAGAAGGGGCUUCAAAUGAACCUUUCACCUGAAGAUGGGCCUGCGUUCCAUUAGUUAGUUGGUGAGGUAACAGCUCACCAAGACAGCGAUGGAUAGCCGACCUGAGAGGGUGAUCGGCCACACUGGGACUGAGAUACGGCCCAGACUCCUACGGGAGGCAGCAGUAGGGAAUAUUGCGCAAUGGCCUAAAGGCUGACGCAGCAACGCCGUGUGACCGAUGAAGCUCCAAGGAGUGUAAAGGUCUGUUAGGAGGGAAGAAAAGUCCAGACGUUAAUAACUUCUGAACCUGACGGUACCUCCAGAGAAAGCUCCGGCCAACUCCGUGCCAGCAGCCGCGGUAAUACGGGGGGAGCAAGCGUUGUCCGGAAUUACUGGGCGUAAAGGGCGUGUAGGCGGGCUUGUAAGUCAGGAGUGAAAUUUGUCGGCUUAACCGGCAAUCUGCUUCUGAUACUGCAGGUCUUGAGUAAGACAGAGGAAAGUGGAAUUCCUGGUGUAGCGGUGAAAUGUGUAGAUAUCAGGAAGAACACCGGUAGCGAAGGCGGCUUUCUGGGUCUUUACUGACGCUGAGGCGCGAAAGCGUGGGUAGCAAACAGGAUUAGAUACCCUGGUAGUCCACGCCUUAAACGAUGAGCACUAGGUGUUGAAGGUUCGACCCCUUCAGUGCCGCAGCUAACGCAUUAAGUGCUCCGCCUGGGGAGUACGAUCGCAAGGUUGAAACUCAAAGGAAUUGACGGGGGCCCGCACAAGCGGUGGAGCAUGUGGUUUAAUUCGAUGCUACGCGAAGAACCUUACCGGGGUUUGAAAAGCAGCUGAAACUCCGAGAAAUCGGAGCCCCUUCGGGCAGCUGUACAGGUGCUGCAUGGUUGUCGUCAGCUCGUGUCGUGAGAUGUUGGGUUAAGUCCCGCAACGAGCGCAACCCCUGUCCUUAGUUGC